GGUAUUGAUUGGUGCUUGCAUCAUGAUUUACAUUUGAGUGAGUGGCGAACUGGUGAGUAACACGUGGGAAACCUGCCCAGAAGCGGGGGAUAACACCUGGAAACAGAUGCUAAUACCGCAUAACAACUUGGACCGCAUGGUCCGAGUUUGAAAGAUGGCUUCGGCUAUCACUUUUGGAUGGUCCCGCGGCGUAUUAGCUAGAUGGUGAGGUAACGGCUCACCAUGGCAAUGAUACGUAGCCGACCUGAGAGGGUAAUCGGCCACAUUGGGACUGAGACACGGCCCAAACUCCUACGGGAGGCAGCAGUAGGGAAUCUUCCACAAUGGACGAAAGUCUGAUGGAGCAACGCCGCGUGAGUGAAGAAGGGUUUCGGCUCGUAAAACUCUGUUGUUAAAGAAGAACAUAUCUGAGAGUAACUGUUCAGGUAUUGACGGUAUUUAACCAGAAAGCCACGGCUAACUACGUGCCAGCAGCCGCGGUAAUACGUAGGUGGCAAGCGUUGUCCGGAUUUAUUGGGCGUAAAGCGAGCGCAGGCGGUUUUUUAAGUCUGAUGUGAAAGCCUUCGGCUCAACCGAAGAAGUGCAUCGGAAACUGGGAAACUUGAGUGCAGAAGAGGACAGUGGAACUCCAUGUGUAGCGGUGAAAUGCGUAGAUAUAUGGAAGAACACCAGUGGCGAAGGCGGCUGUCUGGUCUGUAACUGACGCUGAGGCUCGAAAGUAUGGGUAGCAAACAGGAUUAGAUACCCUGGUAGUCCAUACCGUAAACGAUGAAUGCUAAGUGUUGGAGGGUUUCCGCCCUUCAGUGCUGCAGCUAACGCAUUAAGCAUUCCGCCUGGGGAGUACGGCCGCAAGGCUGAAACUCAAAGGAAUUGACGGGGGGCCCGCACAAGCGGUGGAGCAUGUGGUUUAAUUCGAAGCUACGCGAAGAACCUUACCAGGUCUUGACAUACUAUGCAAAUCUAAGAGAUUAGACGUUCCCUUCGGGGACAUGGAUACAGGUGGUGCAUGGUUGUCGUCAGCUCGUGUCGUGAGAUGUUGGGUUAAGUCCCGCAACGAGCGCAACCCUUAUUAUCAGUUGCCAGCAUUAAGUUGGGCACUCUGGUGAGACUGCCGGUGACAAACCGGAGGAAGGUGGGGAUGACGUCAAAUCAUCAUGCCCCUUAUGACCUGGGCUACACACGUGCUACAAUGGAUGGUACAACGAGUUGCGAACUCGCGAGAGUAAGCUAAUCUCUUAAAGCCAUUCUCAGUUCGGAUUGUAGGCUGCAACUCGCCUACAUGAAGUCGGAAUCGCUAGUAAUCGCGGAUCAGCAUGCCGCGGUGAAUACGUUCCCGGGCCUUGUACACA
Molecule: ribosomal RNA, 1349 nt
Filed under: Lactiplantibacillus plantarum
Lineage: Bacteria; Bacillati; Bacillota; Bacilli; Lactobacillales; Lactobacillaceae
Description: bacterial SSU rRNA
Rfam family: Bacterial small subunit ribosomal RNA
Source: RNAcentral